GACAAAAAAAAUGGCACCAGGAUGAAGGAGGAAGAACCUCGUCGUCUCUACUGCCCGAGUUCAGACGCGUGACAGUCGAGGAUUUCAGAGCGUUUUCAAAGACGCCGUCAUUCAGACCCAACAGGAAGUAAAUCGGGUCACCAAACGUCCACCUUCAUCCUCACAAUGUCUCAAAAACACAGACAGUUUGGAUUAUUUAAUAUUUUAUGGACUUAACGAAUAAGAGGUUAAAAUAAUUGUUAUUGAAGCAGAGCUCAAAUUAAUGCUUUGAAAAGGCCGUUUUUGAAACUGCAUUAAAUAGACUUUAAAAGGUUUCAAACAUGGUGCAAACUGAAUUUAAGUGGAUUAAAAGGUAUUCAGGGAUAGACAGAGAGCUCAAGCAGCUUUUGACAAGGUUUAAAAACAGUUCAAAUGACAUUUGAGCGAUUUAAUUUAAACUGCUGUGUAAUCCACCAGAAAGCGCAUCGAAAGAGGAAUUUAGCAAAAUGUGAGAAACGCAACUCUUAUUUUUGGACUUUGACUACAAAUGCCCAGUGGCAGAUUUCAGCUAAGAAGUUGUGCAACUUUACUUUUGACAUACCGAAUAUGAAUGCAGAGUGUGUUUCUUUUGCAGUCAAAACAUUAUUACGACUUCUGCUGUCGCCAUGUUUCAAGUCGCUAGAAACUCUGAAGGUCUGCAGUGCCCUCUAGUGGAUGUUUUGUUUAACAUCCCUGCCAAUGAAAACGACACAUGAAAGUAUAUUUACAAGUUACGAACAACUGAGGACCAAUCAACAAGGUUGGUGUGAAAACACUAAUAACUUUAAUGAACUAGUACAAAAGCAAUUACAUUAUUUAUAACUUGUAUAAUUUUAUAUUUAAGUUAUUUA
Molecule: long non-coding RNA, 869 nt
Organism: Thalassophryne amazonica
Lineage: Eukaryota; Metazoa; Chordata; Actinopteri; Batrachoidiformes; Batrachoididae
Exons: 2
Source: RefSeq, a predicted model, not a curated record